GAGUUUGAUCCUGGCUCAGAUUGAACGCUGGCGGCAGGCCUAACACAUGCAAGUCGAGCGGUAACAGAAAGUAGCUUGCUACUUUGCUGACGAGCGGCGGACGGGUGAGUAAUGCUUGGGAACAUGCCUUGAGGUGGGGGACAACAGUUGGAAACGACUGCUAAUACCGCAUAAUGUCUACGGACCAAAGGGGGCUUCGGCUCUCGCCUUUAGAUUGGCCCAAGUGGGAUUAGCUAGUUGGUGAGGUAAUGGCUCACCAAGGCGACGAUCCCUAGCUGGUUUGAGAGGAUGAUCAGCCACACUGGGACUGAGACACGGCCCAGACUCCUACGGGAGGCAGCAGUGGGGAAUAUUGCACAAUGGGCGCAAGCCUGAUGCAGCCAUGCCGCGUGUGUGAAGAAGGCCUUCGGGUUGUAAAGCACUUUCAGUCAGGAGGAAAGGUUAGUAGUUAAUACCUGCUAGCUGUGACGUUACUGACAGAAGAAGCACCGGCUAACUCCGUGCCAGCAGCCGCGGUAAUACGGAGGGUGCGAGCGUUAAUCGGAAUUACUGGGCGUAAAGCGUACGCAGGCGGUUUGUUAAGCGAGAUGUGAAAGCCCCGGGCUCAACCUGGGAACUGCGUUUCGAACUGGCAAACUAGAGUGUGAUAGAGGGUGGUAGAAUUUCAGGUGUAGCGGUGAGAUGCGUAGAGAUCUGAAGGAAUACCGAUGGCGAAGGCAGCCACCUGGGUCAACACUGACGCUCAUGUACGAAAGCGUGGGGAGCAAACGGGAUUAGAUACCCCGGUAGUCCACGCCGUAAACGAUGUCUACUAGAAGCUCGGAGCCUCGGUUCUGUUGAUUCAAAGCUAACGCAUUAAGUAGACCGCCUGGGGAGUACGGCCGCAAGGUUAAAACUCAAAGGAAUUGACGG
RNAcentral lists this ribosomal RNA (912 nucleotides) under uncultured Pseudoalteromonas sp. RNAcentral's name for it is "bacterial SSU rRNA". It matches the Rfam family "Bacterial small subunit ribosomal RNA", at positions 9 to 916 of the family's 1533-position model. Lineage: Bacteria; Pseudomonadati; Pseudomonadota; Gammaproteobacteria; Alteromonadales; Pseudoalteromonadaceae. The record is from RNAcentral.